GAUGAACGCUGGCGGCGUGCCUAAUACAUGCAAGUCGAGCGAACGGACGAGAAGCUUGCUUUUCUGAUGUUAGCGGCGGACGGGUGAGUAACACGUGGAUAACCUACCUAUAAGACUGGGAUAACUUCGGGAAACCGGAGCUAAUACCGGAUAAUAUUUUGAACCGCAUGGUUCAAAAGUGAAAGACGGUCUUGCUGUCACUUAUAGAUGGAUCCGCGCUGCAUUAGCUAGUUGGUAAGGUAACGGCUUACCAAGGCAACGAUGCAUAGCCGACCUGAGAGGGUGAUAGGCCACACUGGAACUGAGACACGGUCCAGACUCCUACGGGAGGCAGCAGUAGGGAAUCUUCCGCAAUGGGCGAAAGCCUGACGGAGCAACGACGCGUGAGUGAUGAAGGUAUUCGGAUCGUAAAACUCUGUUAUUAGGGAAGAACAUAUGUGUAAGUAACUGUGCACAUCUUGGCGGUACCUAAUCAGAAAGCCACGGCUAACUACGUG
RNAcentral lists this ribosomal RNA (497 nucleotides) under uncultured bacterium. Its description in RNAcentral is "partial 16S ribosomal RNA". It matches the Rfam family "Bacterial small subunit ribosomal RNA", at positions 28 to 507 of the family's 1533-position model. The record is from RNAcentral.